RNAcentral lists this long non-coding RNA (433 nucleotides) under Vulpes vulpes (red fox). RNAcentral describes it as "lncRNA (ENSVVUG00000017043.1)". Lineage: Eukaryota; Metazoa; Chordata; Mammalia; Carnivora; Canidae. The record is from RNAcentral.
AGAAAACAUCAAGUAUCAGUUAGAUAAAACAUCCAUCUGGCUUUUUGAUGCUUGUACUAAUUUUUUUUCAGUGACCUUGUAGUCAUUAUUUAUAGUUUCCUUUGAAGAUCAGAGAACCUUAGGUUGCUUAUUGCUCUAAUCUUUAGAAAAGAUCUGUGACAGAUUUUUCUGAUCCCAAAGAAUACAUCAAAUCAUAUGAAACUGCUCAGUUAUCAGCCAUGAAAACAGAGGUCAUUUCUACUAAAGAAUAGAUUACUCCAGCUUCAUCAUGAAAAGAAUAUUCUCCUUGGAAAUACCCAGAAACCCUCGGAAAAGAAUGCUUUUCAAAAUCUUCUUCUUCAGAAAGACGUGCUGUCAAGGACCGUUAAAUAGAAGAGGCAUUUAUAGAAUCAUAAGACUGUCAGAGCUGAAAGGGUCGUUUCCAAUCUCCUAA